GUAGUGAUUUAACUGAAUUUGUCAGCUACAACUAUUUAAUUCUGAAUAUUAUAUUUUAUUCUGGUGCACUUAACGUUAUCGUUUUCUCAGUGGAACGGCCUUAUUAUGAUGUUGACGAAAUUAACACUGCUUAAUAGAUUUAAAAAAAAAACAGCCUUGUCAUGUUUGCAUAUGUGUUUAUCCUGACAGGGACAAUCCAUCUGAGAGACUCGGCAACCAGAAGAACGGCGUGAAGGACAUCCAGAAACACAAAUGGUUUGAGGGGUUUAACUGGGAUGGUAUUCGGGAAGGAACCUUGGCUCCUCCAUUUAUACCAAAUGUGGAUGGGCCUUUGGACACAAGUAAUUUCGACUGUUUCUCUGAGGACACAGAUGAGCCGCCCCCUGAUGAAGAGUCUGGCUGGGAUAUUGAGUUCUAAUUGGAUGGACCAAAUGUUAUGAAUGGACACAUAAACUGUAGCCUGAAUCCAGAAUAGAACAUGAACAACAGAGCUGUUAGUGCCUGAAAGUCAUGUGCAAAUAAAACUUUUUCUUUCUUUAGA
Long non-coding RNA from Pimephales promelas (fathead minnow), 541 nucleotides. RefSeq lists it as uncharacterized. The record is from RefSeq and is a predicted model, not a curated record. Lineage: Eukaryota; Metazoa; Chordata; Actinopteri; Cypriniformes; Leuciscidae.